ACGUAGCGUCGACCCUAACGGCGAGGCGUACGACGGUCUAAGAGUCGAGUGACUGGGGUG
This 60-nucleotide ribosomal RNA is filed under the name uncultured bacterium. RNAcentral's name for it is "partial 16S ribosomal RNA". The record is from RNAcentral.